AGUGAACGCUGGCGGUAGGCCUAACACAUGCAAGUCGAACGGCAGCACAGAGGAGCUUGCUCCUUGGGUGGCGAGUGGCGGACGGGGGAGGAAUACAUCGGAAUCUACUCUGUCGUGGGGGAUAACGUAGGGAAACUUACGCUAAUACCGCAUACUAGCUACGGGUGAAAGCAGGGGACCUUCGGGACUUGCGCGAGUGAAUGACCCGAUGUCGGAUUAGCUAGGUGGCGGGGUAAAGGCCCACCAAGGCGACGAUCCGUAGCUGGUCUGAGAGGAUGAUCAGCCACACUGGAACUGAGACACGGUCCAGACUCCUACGGGAGGCAGCAGUGGGGAAUAUUGGACAAUGGGCGCAAGCCUGAUCCAGCCAUACCGCGUGGGUGAAGAAGGCCUUCGGGUUGUAAAGCCCUUUUGUUGGGAAAGAAAUCCAGCUGGCUAAUACCCGGUUGGGAUGACGGUACCCAAAGAAUAAGCACCGGCUAACUUCGUGCCAGCAGCCGCGGUAA
RNAcentral lists this ribosomal RNA (506 nucleotides) under uncultured bacterium. RNAcentral's name for it is "partial 16S ribosomal RNA". It matches the Rfam family "Bacterial small subunit ribosomal RNA", at positions 29 to 523 of the family's 1533-position model. The record is from RNAcentral.